CAGAGAUUCACUUGCCCAAGUGUUCUGUCCUGUCCUCUGAAUCCGCUUUCAAGUCGCAAGACGCUGUGAGCUCCAAGUCCACGCAGAGUCCGCCAAACGCUCCGGCCGCUGAUCCGCUCCGCGAAGAUCUGAGUACAGGCCAGCCAGGGUGGGUUUAAAUAGCCUCGGGCGCAGCCUAGCAGCGGAAAGGGCGGAGCUUCACUCCUCCUUUCCAUCAGUCACCCCCAACUUUCCCAGGCUACACCUCGUAGGAAACUGUUCUCCUGCUUUGAUUUCAUGCGCCACCUUUGGGACAAUCUAAGAACUUACAGGUUUUCUUGGCCAGAUUUAUUAGGAAUUGUAUGCACUGAAACACUGAAAACCAACUAGUGGUUCUGUGCUUCCCACGUUGUGGUUUUGACACCAGCAGCAUCCUUGCCACAAUCAAACCCCGGAGAUCCGCAGAUCUGUGUUGUAACAAGACCUCCCCCUGACCCUGAAGCAUGGCAGUUGAAGAAGUCUUUCCGUGUAAGCGAAAAGACUUUGAAGAAAAGGUGGAGAUAUGCGUUGUAUAAACAUUCUUUUGCUCUGGAACCACGUAGAGACUUGGGAGCCAGUUGGGUGGAGCAUUCGUUGGAUGAGGGUGCUCGGGUUAGGAAUAUCAAGGUGUUUCUCCAGAUAAUCCAAUCAUCUAAUUAAGAUUCCAGUUAUGCUCAUCUGUUUUAAAAUUCCGUUUGGGUAAAUUCUUUUAGUCAGACUGAGAAUGGCAAAGCCUCAGCCCCAAUUUCCAGGGAGGGUGGAGAGCCUCAGGUGGAGUUGAUCACCAAUAGCCUAUGGUUUAACCCAUCAUGCCUAUAGAAUGAGGUCUCCAUCAAAACCCAAAAGGACUGGGUUCAGAGAGCUUCUGGAUAACACUUCCUGGAAGGUAGUGCACCCCUCCCCGCAUGCCGGGCCCCACAUUUAUUUCUGAACUUUGUG
RNAcentral lists this long non-coding RNA (957 nucleotides) under Homo sapiens (human). RNAcentral describes it as "LNC_000008". The record is from RNAcentral. Lineage: Eukaryota; Metazoa; Chordata; Mammalia; Primates; Hominidae.